GAGAUUAGCCCAUCACCGAAGUCCGGUGCUAUUGCAUACAGGACAAUGUGGUGUUAAGGCAUGUACCUGGGACUGCGAAUCUACCCGAAGUCCAACUCCGAUUGUGGCUUUGGAUAUUGCCCAAAGCGGGUGAGAGGCCCGUACGGGUAGAUUCUUGUUGUUAUGCAGUCCUCAGAUGUGCGUGCUUUCGAGUCGGAUUGCUUGAGAAUGCAGUCCAAAGUGGGUGGUAAACUCCAUCCAAGGCUAAAUACUGGCACGAGUCCGAUAGUAGACAAGUACCGUGAGGGAAAGUUGAAAAGUACUCUGAAGAGAGAGUAAAUAGCACGUGAAGCCGGUUGCAGGGAAGCUGGUGGAGUCAAGCUUCAUGCUUGAGAAAUUUGUGCAAGUAGUAUUUUGUUGAUUGUAUUCAUGGCCGAUCAACUUGGAAUAAGUUGGGCGCAUUCGUGUGCCUCAAGUCAUUCUGGGUAGUGUGUUUGUGCUGGUCAUGAUAAACUGCUGCUUGUACUCUAUUUCUUGUUGCAUAAAUCACGGUCUAUAGCCUUGUGUUGACGUGCUGUAUGAUUGUCUAACUGUGCUACGGCAAGCUUUCAGUUUGUCGGGUACAGGAUGGCAGGUUGAGGCUUCAGGCCUUGUGUCUGUUAGUCUCUUAUAGUGGUUUUGACCAGCUGAUAAUCAUGCAGUAUCGUGGCUAUAGUUGUUCUGUUGAUACACAGUUUAUGAGCUGCGUACCAGUAAGAACCGUGAUUCUGAGGUAGACGUUCCACCCGACCCGUCUUGAAACACGGACCAAGGAGUUUAACAUGUACGCAAGUCAAUGGGCAUAUUAUGAAACCCAAAGGCGCAAUGAAAGUGAAAGGGCUACUGUGGUCCUUAGGUGUGAUUUCAGUUUGCCCUAACAAGGCGAUUGAACGCAGCACCGGCCCGUCUUCUGAUGUUGUCAUAUUGGCCAUGGCUAGUGUGCGUCAUUGAGGCGGAGCAAGAGCGUACAGGUUGAGACCCGAAAGAUGGUG
RNAcentral lists this ribosomal RNA (1010 nucleotides) under Euryhaliotrema tubocirrus. RNAcentral describes it as "partial 28S ribosomal RNA". It matches the Rfam family "Eukaryotic large subunit ribosomal RNA", at positions 100 to 828 of the family's 3401-position model. Lineage: Eukaryota; Metazoa; Platyhelminthes; Monogenea; Dactylogyridea; Ancyrocephalidae. The record is from RNAcentral.